This 254-nucleotide ribosomal RNA is filed under the name uncultured bacterium. RNAcentral's name for it is "partial 16S ribosomal RNA". It matches the Rfam family "Bacterial small subunit ribosomal RNA", at positions 524 to 776 of the family's 1533-position model. The record is from RNAcentral.
UACGGAGGGUGCAAGCAUUAAUCGGAUUUAUUGGGCGUAAAGGGCGCGUAGGCGGCCUGAAAAGUCAGAUGUGAAAUCCCGGGGCUCAACCCCGGAACAGCAUAUGAAACUUUCAGACUAAGAGGGUAGGCGGAGAAAAUGGAAUUCCACAAGUAGCGGUGAAAUGCGUAGAUAUGUGGAAGAACACCAGUGGCGAAGGCGAUUUUCUAGCUUAUACCUGACGCUGAGGCGCGAAAGCGUGGGGAGCAAACAGG